This 622-nucleotide long non-coding RNA is filed under the name Cicer arietinum (chickpea). RNAcentral describes it as "long non-coding RNA (CARI_LNC002862)". Lineage: Eukaryota; Viridiplantae; Streptophyta; Magnoliopsida; Fabales; Fabaceae. The record is from RNAcentral.
AUACAUUUAAUGAUAUGACACUGAGGUAGAUUUUGAUUUAACACAUAAUAUAUUUUAUCAAAAUAUACAUUUACCUAUAAAAAAGGGGAGAUCGAAAGAAAGGGGAGAUCGAGGAGCCCCUUUGCUAAUUGUAAUCAUGUGUGAGUUUUUGGAGAACAUAUCUUCGAGCUUCCUUCAGACGGAAUCAAUAUUGGAUAGGUUUGUGUUGGAUUAUCCGCCAAGUUUAUGUUGGCAUAGUUGAUGAGCAUCGCAAUCGAGAAAGUCAUGUUGUGAUGGAUUUCACCGGUUAUAGACAUAAGAUUGGGAGUCCUCACGAGACCUCUUCUUCCUUGUGGACGACAUUAGCUAGUGUAUUGUUACAUUGUCGAGGGCACUCUGGUUUUCUUCGCUUAGGAAUUCAGCUUCCCUUUCUAGACGAGCAGCUCGAUGGCAUCCUUGAGAUGGAUGCAAUCAUCGAUGUUGUGGUUAUGGAAUCUAUAAUACUUGUUGUUGUUGACUCCUUGUAUAGGUGGGACCUAUCAGGGAAACUAGAUUCCUCCUUCCUUUAAUUAAACGUUGUGCAUUCGACCAAAAUGGUCUCCUUAGAGCAUUAAAGGGAGUGUUUGUUGGGUAUCGACUGAAG